CUACGGGAGGCAGCAGUAAGGAAUCUUCCGCAAUGGGCGCAAGCCUGACGGAGCGACACCGCGUGCAGGACGAAUGCCUUCGGGUUGUAAACUGCUUUUCUAGAUCAGGAAAAUGACCAAUCUAGGAAUAAGCACCGGCUAAUCACGUGCCAGAAGCCUCGGUAAUGCGUGAGGUGCAAGCGUAUCCGGAUUUACUGGGCGUAAAGCGUGCGUAGGCGGCAUAAUAAGUCCGUGGUUAAAUUUCAUGGCUCAACCAUGGAGUCGUCAUGGAAACUAUUAUGCUUGAAUCGGUCAUAGGCGAGUAGAAUUUCUGGUGUAGGGGUGAAAUCCGUAGAUAUCAGAAGGAAUACCAAAAGCGAAAGCAGCUCGCUGGGGCUUGAUUGACGCUGUUGCACGAAAGCGUGGGUAGCAAACGGGAUUAGAUACCCUAGUAGUC
RNAcentral lists this ribosomal RNA (436 nucleotides) under uncultured bacterium. RNAcentral's name for it is "partial 16S ribosomal RNA". It matches the Rfam family "Bacterial small subunit ribosomal RNA", at positions 339 to 795 of the family's 1533-position model. The record is from RNAcentral.